Molecule: ribosomal RNA, 456 nt
Filed under: uncultured bacterium
Lineage: Bacteria
Description: bacterial SSU rRNA
Rfam family: Bacterial small subunit ribosomal RNA
Source: RNAcentral
GAUUCUGGCUCAGAACGAACGCUGGCGGCAGGCUUAACACAUGCAAGUCGAACGCUCCGCAAGGAGAGUGGCAGACGGGUGAGUAACACGUGGGAACGUACCCUUUACUACGGAACAACUCCGGGAAACUGGAGCUAAUACCGUAUGUGCCCUUCGGGGGAAAGAUUUAUCGGUAAAGGAUCGGCCCGCGUUGGAUUAGCUAGUUGGUGGGGUAAAGGCCUACCAAGGCGACGAUCCAUAGCUGGUCUGAGAGGAUGAUCAGCCACAUUGGGACUGAGACACGGCCCAAACUCCUACGGGAGGCAGCAGUGGGGAAUAUUGGACAAUGGGCGCAAGCCUGAUCCCAGCCAUGCCGCGUGUGUGAUGAAGGCCUUAGGGUUGUAAAGCACUUUCACCGGAGAAGAUAAUGACGGUAUCCGGAGAAGAAGCCCCGGCUAACUUCGUGCCAGCAGCGGC